CCUACGGGUGGCAGCAGUGAGGAAUAUUGGUCAAUGGUCGUGAGACUGAACCAGCCAAGUAGCGUGAAGGAUGACUGCCCUAUGGGUUGUAAACUUCUUUUAUAUGGGAAUAAAACGUUCCACGUGUGGGAUUUUGUAUGUACCAUAUGAAUAAGGAUCGGCUAAAUCCGUGCCAGCAGCCGCGGUAAUACGGAGGAUCCGAGCGUUAUCCGGAUUUAUUGGGUUUAAGGGGAGCGUAGGCGGAUUGUUAAGUCUGCGGUAAAAGCCCGGGGCUCAACCCCGGCGAGCCGUUGAAACUGGCUGUCUUGAGAUGUCGGGAGGUAUGCGGAAUGCGCAGUGUAGCGGUGAAAUGCUUAGAUAUUGCGCAGAACUCCGAUUGCGAAGGCAGCAUACCGGCGGCGUUCUGACGCUGAUGCACGAAAGCGUGGGGAUCAAACAGGAUUAGAUACCCGGGUAGUC
This 459-nucleotide ribosomal RNA is filed under the name uncultured bacterium. RNAcentral describes it as "partial 16S ribosomal RNA". It matches the Rfam family "Bacterial small subunit ribosomal RNA", at positions 338 to 795 of the family's 1533-position model. The record is from RNAcentral.